GCCAGGUAUGGUGGUGCAUACCUGUAAUCCCAGCUACUGAGGAGGCUGAGAUGGGAGGAUGGCUUGAGCCCAGGUGAUCGAGGCUGCAGUGAGCUGUGAUCUUGCCACUGCACUCCAGCCUGGGCAACAGAACAGAACCCUGUCUCAA
Molecule: unclassified non-coding RNA, 148 nt
Organism: Callithrix jacchus (white-tufted-ear marmoset)
Lineage: Eukaryota; Metazoa; Chordata; Mammalia; Primates; Cebidae
Rfam family: Metazoan signal recognition particle RNA
About the family: The signal recognition particle (SRP) is a universally conserved ribonucleoprotein. It is involved in the co-translational targeting of proteins to membranes.
Source: Ensembl